CUUCAAUGGCUUUUGUAUGAAUUCAUUCUACAGCUGCUGCUCUCAAUGUGCAGAUGAAGGACAAAGAGAUAAAACCACUGAUCCAGCUUGUGAUCAUCUCAUUGAAGAACAAACGAACAGGAGAGGAAAAGAAUUCCUUCCUCCUUGGGACAAUGGGGAAACAAACUCAAUAAAGGCAGGAGUGUAAGGAAAACACGUAAGGACAAAAUUGGUUUAAGGGAAGGAAAUGAUGGAAGAAAAUAUGCCGCAAUGUCUUAAUAUUUUGGCAUUCACAAGCUAUUGCCAAAUAUCACCAAGUGGUAGGAGUCACGGGAAGCUGCUUUAUACCAACAAGAUACAAGCCAGAUGUUUUGGACUGCAACUCCCAUCAGCUCCAGGCAGCAUAGCCAGUGGACAGGAAUGAUGGGGGAUGUAGUUGGUAACAUCUGGAAGGCACCAUGUUGGCUACCCAUAACCUAUAGAGAGUACCAGAGCAUCUCCAGGAUUUCAGCCCCCAUCCCUACCUAGAGAGAUUAGGGGUUGAACCUUGUGCAUGCAGUGCAGAUGUUCUACCACCAAGCUUUAGCCCUUCCUACUGUGGGAUACAUCAGCCUCAUAUAACCAACAUGCUUAACUCUAUUUAAUGCAUGAAGGGGUUAAGACCAUAGAGUAAGGUGUCCUGCCAGGCUUAGUUAGGUCACUCCCCCUCACCUUGGGAGGAAGGGCUACCAAACUCUUUGUUCUCUCACUUUCCACUCUUCCACCAUACCUACCUACCAGUAAGAAGGUCUAAGCUGGAUGCUCCAAUUUUGGACUGUGUGGCUUAAAGAAGCCAUCUUUGUGUCUCUAUGCAAACAAUUUAGAAACUCUUACCAUUUGGGAACCUAAGUUAGGCUGCCUGUCUUUUCUUGCUGCUGUGUGGGAAAGCACAUGAAUCUGACGUUUGAAGAGUUUGUAAGUAAGAAAUUCCGACGAAGGAAGAAUGGCAGACUAAAUUAAUGGACUAUGCAGAAUUGGACAAAAUGACAGGAAGGAUUCGAAACCUGUGGGACCAGAGAUUUACAGAAGAUUGGGAGAAGUAUAUGAAUUAUUUGAAGAGCAACUGUAAUCAACAAAUUACGCUAGUAGGACUACAAGAAGUUUUGUAAGGAGAAAUAUACGAAGUGUUACAAAGUAGAAAAAGAUAGAGAUAUUGGUUAUGAGUUUGAAAUGUAAUAUGGAAGAUAAGAAAUGCAUACUGAGAGAUUAGAUUGGAAAAUUUUCAGACAGGAUUGAUGGAAG
Molecule: long non-coding RNA, 1260 nt
Filed under: Podarcis lilfordi (Lilford's wall lizard)
Lineage: Eukaryota; Metazoa; Chordata; Lepidosauria; Squamata; Lacertidae
Source: RNAcentral